This 456-nucleotide ribosomal RNA is filed under the name Triticum aestivum (bread wheat). RNAcentral describes it as "partial small subunit ribosomal RNA". Lineage: Eukaryota; Viridiplantae; Streptophyta; Magnoliopsida; Poales; Poaceae. The record is from RNAcentral.
AUGCAUCCACAGCCGCUCGAUUGGAUCCGCAAUGUUUUCUUCCUUCGCCACAGGAAACAAAAGAAAGCCGUCCGCUCGCAUCGAGCAAGGCCACGCCCCUCCCACUGGCAGAUCGAAGUUCCCCUCCGGCUUGCCUCGCCGCCGUCGUGCAGCACGCGCCCCACGCCCCUGCUGUCAACAGUAGCCUCCCGCGCGCCCCUCGCCGGUGCUGCCCACCCUCCUGUCGAAACAAAUAUGUCCAGUGCUGUAGGCCUUUGCAGCUCAGCGAGUGUCCCCACCCCCACUGGUUGUAGCACCGCCGGGUGGGCGUUUCCAGCAUCGCCACCAGCCAUCGUCAAUCCCGUCAACUGGUCAACGUUGUCGCUGGUGCAGCACCACCGCCUCGCUUGUGGUUCCAGUGGUCAUCCCGCUCUGAAAAGAAGUUGUUCCAACAAAACAAAUCGCUGGUUUCAAUAG